AGCAUGCAAGUCGAACGAUGAACCUCACUUGUGGGGGGAUUAGUGGCGAACGGGUGAGUAACACGUGAGUAACCUGCCCUUGACUCUGGGAUAAGCCUGGGAAACUGGGUCUAAUACCGGAUAUGACCUUCCAUCGCAUGGUGGUUGGUGGAAAGCUUUUGUGGUUUUGGAUGGACUCGCGGCCUAUCAGCUUGUUGGUGGGGUAAUGGCCUACCAAGGCGACGACGGGUAGCCGGCCUGAGAGGGUGACCGGCCACACUGGGACUGAGACACGGCCCAGACUCCUACGGGAGGCAGCAGUGGGGAAUAUUGCACAAUGGGCGCAAGCCUGAUGCAGCGACGCCGCGUGAGGGAUGACGGCCUUCGGGUUGUAAACCUCUUUCAGUAGGGAAGAAGCGAGAGUGACGGUACCUGCAGAAGAAGCGCCGGCUAACUACGUGCCAGCAGCCGCGGUAAUACGUAGGGCGCAAGCGUUAUCCGGAAUUAUUGGGCGUAAAGAGCUCGUAGGCGGUUUGUCGCGUCUGCCGUGAAAGUCCGGGGCUCAACUCCGGAUCUGCGGUGGGUACGGGCAGACUAGAGUGAUGUAGGGGAGACUGGAAUUCCUGGUGUAGCGGUGAAAUGCGCAGAUAUCAGGAGGAACACCGAUGGCGAAGGCAGGUCUCUGGGCAUUAACUGACGCUGAGGAGCGAAAGCAUGGGGAGCGAACAGGAUUAGAUACCCUGGUAGUCCAUGCCGUAAACGUUGGGCACUAGGUGUGUGGGACAUUCCACGUUUUCCGCGCCGUAGCUAACGCAUUAAGUGCCCCGCCUGGGGAGUACGGCCGCAAGGCUAUACUCAAGGGAAUUGACGGGGGCCGCACAAACUGCGGAGC
RNAcentral lists this ribosomal RNA (871 nucleotides) under Pseudarthrobacter sp. RNAcentral's name for it is "bacterial SSU rRNA". It matches the Rfam family "Bacterial small subunit ribosomal RNA", at positions 52 to 938 of the family's 1533-position model. The record is from RNAcentral. Lineage: Bacteria; Bacillati; Actinomycetota; Actinomycetes; Micrococcales; Micrococcaceae.